This is a non-coding RNA of Schizosaccharomyces pombe (fission yeast), 224 nucleotides long. The record is from the annotation of a GenBank genome assembly. NCBI's taxonomy places the organism in Eukaryota, Fungi, Ascomycota, Schizosaccharomycetes, Schizosaccharomycetales, Schizosaccharomycetaceae.
AUCAUUAAAUAAUUCCAUAUUUAGACCUCGAACCCCCAGAGAAUCGUAAUUAUCAUUUGCUAAUGGUUGAACGGCCGGUGAGCCAAUGGAUAAAGGGGGUAAAUGAGCUCUUAAUUUCGAAUUAAAUGGCUUAGGAGUGGACGAACAGGAGGAAAUUUUAGGAGUAGAACUAGCGGAUUCAAGACUAGGUUUAUGCAAAAUAGAGGGAGAAAUCGAUUUCGGAG